RNAcentral lists this ribosomal RNA (373 nucleotides) under uncultured bacterium. RNAcentral describes it as "bacterial SSU rRNA". It matches the Rfam family "Bacterial small subunit ribosomal RNA", at positions 527 to 898 of the family's 1533-position model. The record is from RNAcentral.
GUAGGGUGCGAGCGUUAAUCGGAAUUACUGGGCGUAAAGUGUGCGCAGGCGGCGGAGCAAGUCGAGUGUGAAAGCCCCGGGCUUAACCUGGGAAUUGCGCUCGAAACUACUUUGCUGGAGUGUGGCAGAGGAAGGUGGAAUUCCACGUGUAGCGGUGAAAUGCGUAGAGAUGUGGAGGAACACCGAUGGCGAAGGCAGCCUUCUGGGCCAACACUGACGCUCAUGCACGAAAGCGUGGGGAGCAAACAGGAUUAGAUACCCUGGUAGUCCACGCCCUAAACGAUGAUGACUAGUUGUUGGGGGAGUUAAAUCCCUUAGUAACGCAGCUAACGCGUGAAGUCAUCCGCCUGGGGAGUACGGUCGCAAGAUUAAA